This 856-nucleotide ribosomal RNA is filed under the name Hyaloscypha variabilis. RNAcentral's name for it is "SSU rRNA". The stretch from base 158 to 856 matches the Rfam family "Bacterial small subunit ribosomal RNA", at positions 1 to 1136 of the family's 1533-position model. The record is from RNAcentral. Lineage: Eukaryota; Fungi; Ascomycota; Leotiomycetes; Helotiales; Hyaloscyphaceae.
AAUAGCCUAACGGCUGAACCAGCAACUUGGGGGAAUGUAUAGCUUCGGCUAAUUAUACUUGGCUGUUUAAUUAAUUAUAAAUAAUUAAAGUUAUUUGUGAAAGAUUAAUCAAUUUAUCCGUAAUAGGUUUAUGCUACUAAACAUAGCGUAGUAAAAUUAAUUUGCUACUUUUAUAUUAAGAGAUAUUAAUCUCGUAGACAGGUAUAAGAUCGAUUUUAUCGAGUAAAGUUCUAGAGAAGAAAAAAAUUGAUGAUGACAAACUUCUUUUCUAUAUGUCUUGACCAAAUUACGUGCCAGCAGUCGCGGUAAUACGUAAAAGACUAGUGUUAUUCAUCUUUAGUAGGUUUAAAGGGUACCUAGACGGUAUAAUUAGUCUUAAACAAGAAACGGUUAUGCUAGAGUUAUAUAUGAGAAGGGGAGUAUUUAUGGAGUAGAGUUGAAAUUCUUUGAUCCCAUAACGACUGGUAGCGGCGAAAGCAACCUUUUAUCUAAUAACUGACGUUGAGGGACGAAGGCUCGGGUCACGAACAGGAUUAGAUACCCUAGUAGUCCAAGCAGAGAAUGAUGAAUGCCAUAGAUUAGAUGUUAAUUUAGUCUAUAAAUGAAAGUGUAAGCAUUUCACCUCAAGAGUAAUGUGGCAACGCAGGAACUGAAAUCAUUAGACCGUUUCUGAAACCAGUAGUGAAGUAUGUUAUUUAAUUCGUAAGUACGCGAAAAACCUUACCACAACUUGAAUAUUAUCUUUAAGAUAUUACAAGCGUUGCACGGCUGUCUUCAGUUAAUGUCGUGAGAUAUUGGUUAAUUCCAUUAAAUUAACGGAAACCCUUGCUUUAUUUGGGUAUAAAGCAGUUCACCU